AACCAAACGCCGAGUUAAGGGGCCAAAAGGAAAUGCUAAGUGACACCACGGAAGGGUGUUGUUUGCUAUAGACAGCAGGACGGUGGCCAUGGAAGUUGGAAUCCGCUAAGGAGUGUGUAACAACUCACCUGCCGAAGCAAGCAACCCCGAAAAUGGAUGGCGCUAAAGCUUUCUCCCGAUACUCGGCCGCCGGCGGCAUAGGCGGGCAUGCAUAGCCCGUUCGAGGCCCCGGCGAGUAGGAGGUGCGCGGCAGUGUGCUGUGAAGGCUGCGGAGUAAUCCGCACUGGAGCCGCUGUCGGUGCAGAUCUUGGUGGAAGUAGCAAACAUUCAAUCACGGCUGAUCACUGAUUGUUGACCGAGGUGGAGAAGGGUUCCACGACAACUGCAAUAGGUCGUGGGUUAGUCGGUCCUUAGCCCCGGGAUACUCCCCCGAGAUCCACUGUCACAUGCUAUGCAGCAUCUAAACUGUGUAUUGUAAACCAACUCUACCGGUUUUGCUGUUAACCUAGUGGCAGCUGGGGCGAAAGGGAAUACGGUUAAUAUUCCGUAACCUGGCCUGUAACUACCAAGAGUUUUGAUACUUACCGGCAUACCAUGCUUGUAUCUUAACCUCUUUUGAGCUCAUACAAAAAAAGUCGCAUUUGAUGAUGGUACUUGCUUGUUUCAACGUCACCUAGUAGUCCUGUGGACAAGUAAUAAGUGUUUGGGAAGCCCUGUCUAUAUCCUGGCGACAGGAGCCUGACGGUCUUCGUCGGCAGUGGACCGGGGAAGAGUUCUCUUCUCUUUUUGAGGCAGCUGGGAAGACCUCGGAGAAUAUACUCAUUAGACGAAGAGGUCUGUCAGUAGCAUUCGCUACCCCAGUUUAAUGUGCCGUAGAGCGCCACGCAUUUAGGCGUAGGUGUCCCGUGCUCUGCUGUCGGCCCUUGAAAAGACUCUGAGGGGGAAAGGGGAACCCAUCACUGACUGCUAUAAAAGCAGUGGCGAAAAGUGACAAUUGGCAAGCAAACCACGUGCCUCAUCACAAAUAGUCCCAAAGCCUUUUGGCGGCAAUGUGACCAAGAAACCAUUGUACCUAGUUGAGCUUCAAAAACCAAAAUACAAUACGUAUUAUAGGCCAGACCGUACCUAAUCCGCAUCAGGUCUCCAAGGUGUGAAGCCUCUGGACGAUAGAUAAAUGUAGGUAAGGGAAGUCGGCAAGUCAGAUCCGUAACUUCGGGAUAAGGAUUGGCUCUAAAGGUCGAGUCCAGUUGGGCCUUUGCCGGAAACGGUGUCCCCUCUUGACUGGGCGGUUCCCUCGCUCCGUCUAACGCGUCUGUCGGCCGUGCCUUCGCGGGCGCUUCGUCGUUACUGUUGAUACCCUCUUGGGUGCCUUGGCCCGACAGUGCUGGGUGAUGGACUGGGUGAGAGGCGGUUUCGGCCGCUGGGUAGCUCGGACCAGAGUCUGGUGCCAGUACGGCCUUGGAUUGCCCUUGGGGGAGGAGGUGCGGCGAGGUGUGCAGGCAGGCGUGGGGGUGCUGGGAUCUCCGUCUUGUCUCGGCUAAAGGGGUCCGUGGAAAGCUCAGGCAAAGGUGCGGGCUUGGCUCCUCGCGGGCCUUGUCGCGUACCGCGACUGGGCAAAAACGACCAACUUAGAACUGGCACGGACUAGGGGAAUCCGACUGUUUAAUUAAAACAAAGCAAAGUGAGAGAGGGAGACCUUUAUCACGCUUUGUGAUUUCUGCCCAGUGCUCUGAAUGUCAAAGUGAAGAGAUUCAACCAAGCGCGGGUAAACGGCGGGAGUAACUAUGACUCUCUUAAGGUAGCCAAAUGCCUCGUCAUCUAAUUAGUGACGCGCAUGAAUGGAUUAACGAGAUUCCCACUGUCCCUACCUACUAUCUAGCGAACCCACAGGCAGGGGAACGGGCCUGCAUUGGACAGCGGGGAAAGAAGACCCUGUUGAGCUUGACUCUAGUUUGAUUUUGUAGAGAGACGUCAGAGGUGUAGAAUACGUGGGAGGGCUGGUUCUUUCGGGUUCCUUUCCGCCGGUGAAAUACCACGACUCUGAUAGUUUCUCUACUUACUCGGUUAUGCGGGAACGAAGGCUCACCCAGCAGGGAGAUGCCCUUCGAUUGUAGAGUCCAAGAACCCGUGUGUCUCGCACAGUCUCCUCUCGUCUGCGUUCGGCCCGUGUACUGGCGUUGCACUCGUGUGGCGCUUCAGGCGGAUCCCGGGCAAAGUCGGAGGGACGGGCGGGCUGGAGUGCGAAAGCUUCCCCUGGGCGGCCAGUAGCCUCCCCCGCCUAGAUAAAAGGGUUCGACCCGUGCCGAGGACAGAAUCAGAUGGGGAGUUUGACUGGGGCGGUACAUCUGUCAAAGAAUAACGCAGAUGUCCCAAGGUCAGCUCAGUGUGGACAGAAACCACACGUAGAGCCUAAGGGCAAAUGCUGGCUUGAUCCGGAUUUUCAGUACGAAUACGGACAGCGAAAGCUAGGCCUAACGAUCCUUUUGACUUUUACGAGUUUUAAGCAAGAGGUGUCAGAAAAGUUACCACAGGGAUAACUGGCUUGUGGCAGCCAAGCGCUCGUAGCGACGUUGCUUUUUGAUCCUUCGAUGUCGGCUCUUCCUAUCAUUGCGACGCAGCAGUCGCCAAGUGUGGGAUUGUUCACCCUCUAACAGGGAACGUGAGCUGGGUUUAGACCGUCGCGAGACAGGUUAGUUUUACCCUACUGUCCACGUCGAGUGCUCUCUCCCGAGACGCUCGAAUCGCAUCGCGCCAGUAGCCCCGCCCAGUACGAGAGGAACGGUGGGUCCGGACCUCUGGUCAAUGGGUUGCUCGAUCGGGCAUUGCCCAGCAGCUACGUCCGCCCGGAUAAUCCCUGAAAGCCUCUCAAGGGAGAAACCGACCUGUGCGUUAAACGAUGCGUCCCCUUCGGGGGGCAUACGGGAUACUCCUGGCUGGUCAGAGAAAGGGAUUCGUCCCUCGUUUCAACGCCCGAGUGCCGUCUGCUAGCGCGGCGGACCCCCUCUUUGCUGAGGGGCGGGUGGACUGUGCCCAAGAGUACAUGGGGAACUCUGUUCGCUUGCCUUGUUGCCUCUUGCUCACGCCGUUACUUGCGGAAGGGCUUGUGGCGCCUGGCGUGGACAGCAGGAGA
Molecule: ribosomal RNA, 3130 nt
Filed under: Acetes chinensis (northern mauxia shrimp)
Lineage: Eukaryota; Metazoa; Arthropoda; Malacostraca; Decapoda; Sergestidae
Description: eukaryotic LSU rRNA
Rfam family: Eukaryotic large subunit ribosomal RNA
Source: RNAcentral